Molecule: non-coding RNA, 195 nt
Organism: Oryza meridionalis
Lineage: Eukaryota; Viridiplantae; Streptophyta; Magnoliopsida; Poales; Poaceae
Source: Rfam
UUUAAACACAUCUAUGAGUUUUCGUGUCCAACUUUGAUCAUCUGUUUUAUUUUAUGAUUGGUAUUUUUUUUUGUUGUUAGAUGAGAAAACUUGAAUAGUAUUUUAUGUGUGAUUUAUAUUUUUUAAUUCUUUUAAAAAGUUUUUAAAUAAGACGGACGAUUAAAGUUGGAUAAAAAAUUUAUGGUUGCGCUAAAA